UGUUUUGGAUUUAGCCAAAAUGGAGGCCCAGAUUCGUUGGGCUUAUCAAAAUUGCAAAGGUAAUAUACAAUUUUACCCUUUUUUGUUUAUUAAAAGCCUUCGCCAAAUCUGAUCUCAUCCUCUCUUAUACGACAACGGAGCUCUCUGCAACUCCUUGUCGCGAUGAAGCCACUGCCGUCCUGAUCCGCCAUCUAAAAGCAAGCCAUCACGUUCAAGUCCGUACCGGGUGGGAACCCACUGAUGCACGCAGCCAAGCUAGGCCAUGGAGACACCGUCAAGACUAUUCUAUAAGCUGGCGCGCCAUGGACGCCCUAUCUCUUUCCAAUCUCUCCGCCGGCGACUUCGCCAUGGACACAGGCCACGAAGAAGCCUACGAAAUACCCCUCAAUACCGGGAUUCAAGCUGAAUUGGUACUGGAACGAUUGCGUGGAAAAAGAAUAAGAAUAGGUUGAGGGCAACAUAGUUGGUGACCGGUGAUGGCUGGCCGGAAGUUUGUGGCAGCGGCUGGUGGGCGGUAGCUGGCCGGACACUGGCAGUGGCUGGCGGCCUGCGACUGGUAGGAAGAUGGCGGCGGUGGCUGGCCGGAAACUGGCAACGGUGGUGGCGGCGACUGGCAAGAAUAUGGAUGCUGUGGCUGGCCGGCAGGUGCUGGCCCGGCGAUGGGCGGUUGGCCGGAAGGUAGAUUGCUGGAGGUUUUGUGUAACUGGAACAUGGUUUUGGUAAAAUUAAAGGGAGUGGCAUUUUGUGUAAUUUUGAUGUUUUUUAAUUACAUUAUUGUAAAAUUAGGUACUACUUUUUGGUCUUUGGCCUUAUGCUAAUUAGGUGAAAUUGUAUUCCUAUUUCCAAAUUAGUAAACUAUAUAGUGUCUUAAAAUGAAAGCUCCCUAGAUUUUACUAUGAAGGA
Long non-coding RNA from Prunus persica (peach), 903 nucleotides. RefSeq lists it as uncharacterized. Lineage: Eukaryota; Viridiplantae; Streptophyta; Magnoliopsida; Rosales; Rosaceae. The record is from RefSeq and is a predicted model, not a curated record. The transcript has 3 exons.